Molecule: signal recognition particle RNA, 96 nt
Filed under: Candidatus Babelota bacterium
Lineage: Bacteria
Description: signal recognition particle sRNA small type
Rfam family: Bacterial small signal recognition particle RNA
About the family: The signal recognition particle (SRP) is a universally conserved ribonucleoprotein involved in the co-translational targeting of proteins to membranes.
Source: RNAcentral
GAUUGGGAAGUGAGUAAAAAAUGGGUUUCUCAGCCUGUCAGGUCCGAAAGGAAGCAGCAGAAGUUUACUUAUUUUUGUACCCGCUUCCCAUUUAAU